This is a non-coding RNA of Gossypium hirsutum (cotton), 145 nucleotides long. The record is from Rfam. NCBI's taxonomy places the organism in Eukaryota, Viridiplantae, Streptophyta, Magnoliopsida, Malvales, Malvaceae.
UGUUAAAAAUUUUAUCUAUUUGUAUUGUUAAAAACUAAUGUGGCUAGCAAAAUAACUAGACAAUGAUACGUGACAUGCUACGUAUAUAUUAUGCUGAUGUAUAAUAAUCAGUUUUUAAGAAUAAAAAUAAAAUAAAUUCUUAAUA